This is a long non-coding RNA of Anolis carolinensis (green anole), 597 nucleotides long. RefSeq lists it as uncharacterized. The transcript has 2 exons. The record is from RefSeq and is a predicted model, not a curated record. Lineage: Eukaryota; Metazoa; Chordata; Lepidosauria; Squamata; Anolidae.
AAUGCAAUGGUUGCUAACAACAAAAUACCCAGAGAUACAAGAAAAAACAAUUUGUAUUCUAAUCUUUACUUUCUGAUGACUCUCACCAUUUCCUUCCCUAAAGCUGGAUUUGAACAGAUCCAAGUAAUCAUUUUCCACAAAGAUUUCUUUGAUAGAGAGGCUUCCACCUGCUUCAACAAUGUGCUCAAAAAUGGAAGGUUGCUCAUUGUCUUUCUACAAUAGAAAGUGACCUUGUCUCAGUAUCCAUCUGCGCUGGUUGAUCAGUGACAUAAUCUGCUGAAAGUCCUGAAAGGAAAAUGUUCUUUGUCAGGAUGUGUCUGUACCAGCUAAUACCAACAAGCUGCUCCAUCCACUCCAUGCCAGUUUAAUUGGGAUGGGAGUAGAGCACCGGCUUCUGAUAAUAGCCAUCUGGACUGAGAGGGAAACCUGGGAAUUGUAGCAUGUUCUGUGAGAAUAGAAUGUAGCCGUUAGAAGUAGAUAGUAGGAGGGGUCAUGGGUCAACUAGAUGAUAUACUACCAGCUUAGUGGGGGAAAUAGUCAGACCUAGCUUUUGAUUCUCCUUGGCAAGAAGGAAAAAUAAAGCUGUUUCCAAGGACC